AGAGUUUGAUCAUGGCUCAGAUUGAACGCUGGCGGCGUGCUUAACACAUGCAAGUCGAGCGGUAGCAGGCGUAGCAAUACGUGCUGACGAGCGGCGAACGGGUGAGUAAUGCUUCGGAAUCUUCCUCGUAGUGGGGAACAACCUGGGGAAACUCAGGCUAAUACCGCGUACGAACUACGGUUGAAAGCAGGGGAUCGCAAGACCUUGCGCUAUGAGAUGAGCCGAAGUCGGAUUAGCUAGUUGGUGAGGUAAUGGCUCACCAAGGCGACGAUCCGUAGCUGGUCUGAGAGGACGACCAGCCACACUGGAACUGAGACACGGUCCAGACUCCUACGGGAGGCAGCAGUGGGGAAUAUUGGACAAUGGGCGCAAGCCUGAUCCAGCGACGCCGCGUGUGUGAAGAAGGUCUUCGGAUUGUAAAGCACUUUCGGCGGGGACGAUGAUGACGGUACCCGCAGAAGAAGCCCCGGCUAACUACGUGCCAGCCGCCGCGGUAAUUC
RNAcentral lists this ribosomal RNA (500 nucleotides) under uncultured bacterium. Its description in RNAcentral is "bacterial SSU rRNA". It matches the Rfam family "Bacterial small subunit ribosomal RNA", at positions 8 to 526 of the family's 1533-position model. The record is from RNAcentral.